CUUGCUUCUUCCAGGAGAGAGGGGGUUGAAAGAGCCAACAGGAACUGAGAAGAUGCGGGCUAAUGGUUUGAAGAUAUUGGCCUAGCAAGAUGGCCACAAGCUUAAAAAACAGGAUUCCUAAGAAGUUACUUUUCUCAGACAUCUCAAACCCCCAAACGAGAGAAGAUGCUGAGGCCUGUUGCCACAAACCCGUAGAUCCGAACUUGUGAUGAUAGUCCACACAAGCUUGUGUCUAUAGGUAUGUGUCUGUUAGGCAA
This 257-nucleotide long non-coding RNA is filed under the name Ursus americanus (American black bear). RNAcentral describes it as "lncRNA (ENSUAMG00000002577.1)". The stretch from base 180 to 249 matches the Rfam family "mir-10 microRNA precursor family". Lineage: Eukaryota; Metazoa; Chordata; Mammalia; Carnivora; Ursidae. The record is from RNAcentral.